UGUUAUCACGGGAGACACACGGCGGGUGCUAACGUCCGUCGUGAAGAGGGAAACAACCCAGACCGCCAGCUAAGGUCCCAAAGUCAUGGUUAAGUGGGAAACGAUGUGGGAAGGCCCAGACAGCCAGGAUGUUGGCUUAGAAGCAGCCAUCAUUUAAAGAAAGCGUAAUAGCUCACUGGUCGAGUCGGCCUGCGCGGAAGAUGUAACGGGGCUAAACCAUGCACCGAAGCUGCGGCAGCGAACGUAUCACCCAAGACAACUUUACGGAGUUGACGAUUGACGGAGCGAAGCGACGUCAAAGCGUUCAUUAAAGUCGAGUUGGCUUAGGGAUACGUUCGUUGGGUAGGGGAGCGUUCUGUAAGCCUGUGAAGGUGUGUCGUGAGGCAUGCUGGAGGUAUCAGAAGUGCGAAUGCUGACAUAAGUAACGAUAAAGCGGGUGAAAAGCCCGCUCGCCGGAAGACCAAGGGUUCCUGUCCAACGUUAAUCGGGGCAGGGUGAGUCGACCCCUAAGGCGAGGCCGAAAGGCGUAGUCGAUGGGAAACGGGUUAAUAUUCCCGUACUUGGUGUUACUGCGAAGGGGGGACGGAGAAGGCUAUGUUGGCCGGGCGACGGUUGUCCCGGUUUAAGCGUGUAGGUGUGUGUUCCAGGUAAAUCCGGUUCACUUUAACACUGAGGCGUGAUGACGAGGCACUACGGUGCUGAAGCAACAAAUGCCCUGCUUCCAGGAAAAGCCUCUAAGCAUCAGGUAACAUCAAAUCGUACCCCAAACCGACACAGGUGGUCAGGUAGAGAAUACCAAGGCGCUUGAGAGAACUCGGGUGAAGGAACUAGGCAAAAUGGUGCCGUAACUUCGGGAGAAGGCACGCUGACACGUAGGUGAAGUGAUUUACUCACGGAGCUGAAGUCAGUCGAAGAUACCAGCUGGCUGCAACUGUUUAUUAAAAACACAGCACUGUGCAAACACGAAAGUGGACGUAUACGGUGUGACGCCUGCCCGGUGCCGGAAGGUUAAUUGAUGGGGUCAGCGCAAGCGAAGCUCCUGAUCGAAGCCCCGGUAAACGGCGGCCGUAACUAUAACGGUCCUAAGGUAGCGAAAUUCCUUGUCGGGUAAGUUCCGACCUGCACGAAUGGCGUAAUG
RNAcentral lists this ribosomal RNA (1138 nucleotides) under Salmonella enterica subsp. enterica serovar Typhimurium. RNAcentral's name for it is "bacterial LSU rRNA". It matches the Rfam family "Bacterial large subunit ribosomal RNA", at positions 970 to 2006 of the family's 2925-position model. Lineage: Bacteria; Pseudomonadati; Pseudomonadota; Gammaproteobacteria; Enterobacterales; Enterobacteriaceae. The record is from RNAcentral.